CGCAGCCGCGGUAAUUCCAGCUCCAAUAGCGUAUAUUAAAGUUGUUGCAGUUAAAAAGCUCGUAGUUGAAUUUCGGGGUCAGUAGGCUGGUCGUGCCACCGGUACGUACUGGUCUCACUGAUUCCUCCUUCCUGAAGAACCGUAAUGCCAUUAAUUUGGUGUUGCGGGGAAACAGGACUGUUACUUUGAAAAAAUUAGAGUGUUUAAAGCAGGCUAACGCUUGAAUACAUUAGCAUGGAAUAAUGAAAUAGGACGAUCGAUCCUAUUUUGUUGGUUUCUAGGAUUGACGUAAUGAUUAAUAGGGAUAGUUGGGGGCAUUAGUAUUCAAUUGUCAGAGGUGAAAUUCUUGGAUUUAUUGAAGACUAACUACUGCGAAAGCAUUUGCCAAGGAUGUUUUCAUUAAUCAAGAACGAAAGUUAGGGGAUCGAAGACGAUCAGAUACCGUCGUAGUCUUAACCAUAAACUAUGCCGACUAGGGAUCGGAUGAUGUUAAUUUUAUAAUGACUCAUUCGGCGCCUUA
RNAcentral lists this ribosomal RNA (520 nucleotides) under uncultured Glomus. RNAcentral describes it as "SSU rRNA". It matches the Rfam family "Eukaryotic small subunit ribosomal RNA", at positions 569 to 1090 of the family's 1831-position model. Lineage: Eukaryota; Fungi; Glomeromycota; Glomeromycetes; Glomerales; Glomeraceae. The record is from RNAcentral.